RNAcentral lists this ribosomal RNA (253 nucleotides) under uncultured bacterium. Its description in RNAcentral is "partial 16S ribosomal RNA". It matches the Rfam family "Bacterial small subunit ribosomal RNA", at positions 524 to 776 of the family's 1533-position model. The record is from RNAcentral.
UACGGAGGGGGCUAGUGUUGUUCGGAAUUACUGGGCGUAAAGCGCGUGUAGGUGGCGCCGUAAGUCGGGUGUGAAAUUUCGGAGCUUAACUCCGAAACUGCAUUCGAUACUGCGGUGCUUGAGGACUGGAGAGGAGACUGGAAUUCAUGGUGUAGCAGUGAAAUGCGUAGAGAUCAUGAGGAAGACCAGUGGCGAAGGCGGGUCUCUGGACAGUUCCUGACACUGAGACACGAAGGCCAGGGGAGCAAACGGG